CCCUUAGAUGUUCUGGGCCGCACGCGCGCUACACUGACGGAGUCAGCGAGCAUGUCCUACGCCGACAGGUGCGGGGAAUCUUGUCAAACUUCGUCGUGAUGGGGAUUGAUUUUUGAAAUUCUUGAUCAUAAACGAGGAAUUCCUAGUAAGCGCAAGUCAGCAGCUUGCGUUGAUUACGUCCCUGCCCUUUGUACACACCGCCCGUCGCUACUACCGAUUGAAUGGUUUAGUGAGAUCUUCGGAUUGGCGCCACUGCAGCUCAGCAAUGGGCUUGGUGGAUGCCGAAAAGUUGAUCAAACUUGAUCAUUUAGAGGAAGUAAAAGUCGUAACA
RNAcentral lists this ribosomal RNA (331 nucleotides) under uncultured eukaryote. RNAcentral's name for it is "partial 18S ribosomal RNA". It matches the Rfam family "Eukaryotic small subunit ribosomal RNA", at positions 1470 to 1796 of the family's 1831-position model. The record is from RNAcentral.